RNAcentral lists this long non-coding RNA (1286 nucleotides) under Anser brachyrhynchus (Pink-footed goose). RNAcentral's name for it is "lncRNA (ENSABRG00000018521.1)". The record is from RNAcentral. Lineage: Eukaryota; Metazoa; Chordata; Aves; Anseriformes; Anatidae.
UGCAGGCUUUUCACUACAGUGAAAAAGAGAAGAAAAUCCACAAAAUAUCAUAUAUGUUGGCCUUCAGUUGAAGGUCCAUCUAGCCCGUACACUCAUUCCCAUUGUGGCCAAAAGCAGAUGCCUACAGAAUAUGCAUAUAUGAAAACUUACUAUAAGACUGUCUCUGCUUCUAACUAUUGUCAGGAUAGGGACUUCCAGAAGAGCUUGUGGUUUCCAUGUAUUGAGUACUCUUAGAGGAUUUUUCUUCCGUUCAAUGCUUCUGUCUUUGAACCCACAUAAUGCUUUAGCACCCACGCCAUCCUUUGGCAAGGAGAUCUACAGGUCAGCUGCCUCAGAUGUUGUGCUUGGAGCCCUGCUACUCCAUUAGUUUCAUCUGAUGCUUCCCACCUCGUACUUGAAGAGAGCGAAAAAAAUCAAUCUCCAUUAAUGCUCUCUAUGCCACUAGAGUUUUUGUAAAUCCAUCACCUCUUCCUCCAUUAUCUCUUUUCCAGCUUAAAAAGUCCUAGCUUAGUCAUCCUUCAUGCAGAGCAAUUUUGUACUUGCAAUAUUUAUUGUUGCCCUUCUCUAGACUUUUCCCAGCUGCCUCAUAUAUUUCUUGUAGUGAGGGAAUGAGGACCUUAUAAGGUCAUUAGAAUUGAAAAACUCACACCUUACAUCCCAAAUUCACUGCAAUGCUACUUAUUCAGGCUCAAAACACCUGUCAGUACAGUGAUAAGCAGGCUGUAGGCAGUAAUUUGAGAGCUUGAGCAGCAGGGUUACAGUGACUGGAGCUUCUGAGAUAACUUUUUACAGCCCCAAGUUCAGCCAGGUCUUCCCAUCUCAUCCUUUUCUGCUGUAGCUGACACAUAUGAGAGAUCGCAAGUCCCACGCCAGUGUGGCAGAGUCAUUGUAGUACACACCAAUGGGGAGACCCUUGGAGCAUGGGCCUUCCUGAGAUACAGAGCAGUGAACAGAUGGCCCCUUGCUGCUCACCACAAAUGUGUUAUUAUUACUUCAACCAAAAUCUCCUUUGGAAGAAAGCUAGCCAAUGUUUGUUUUGCUUCCAGAUAGAUAACCUUGAAAAAGGCAAAAACAUAAUAAUAGAGUACAACACAACAAAAUACAACAGAGAACAAAGGGAGGAAGAAAGAAGGAGCAGAAAGAGAGUCUGGUGGGCUGCCAGGAGCCAUGAAAUCUGUGAGCCUGUGUGCAGGAGUAUCAAAGAAUCUCAGGGAAACAACUGAGAAAGGAAAGGAAGCUAUGGUGAUUAUUGCAUGAGUUAGAAACAUGUAACCACAGGCUUUCCA